UUUGAAAUAGUGGUUGCAGAUGCACACAGCACACAUACUUUCACUGUGGAUAACAAAUAUCAAACAGACAAACAGUGCAAAAUGUAUCCACAAAUAUCAAACAGACAAACAGUGCAAAAUGUAUCGCCCUCGGCCCUCCUGCAUUCAGGAGUAAGGGUCACGAUUGCCGCAUACGACAUGAGGGAAACAGAAUUAUAGCCAUAGUAUGAUAGUAAGCCAGGGCAGAAUACAAUUACAGACUUGAUUGAAAUAACUGGAAUACAUGUAUUUCAACUAGCCCAAUAUUCACCCAGCCCACACCCAAGCCCAAGAAAGUGUUGGAUGACAAACAUUUCCUUCAUCAGUCCAUCAGCCCAAGUCCAAUAAAAUGAUCCGUGGAUAUUUCAUCCUUCUAAAUAACAGGCCCAAUACCCAGCCCAAUGCGCAAACAACUAGGUCUUUGAAAAUGUUUCAUCUCAAUCGUCCAUUCAAAAUCGACGGUUACAAUAUUUGUAAAUUAAUAAUUAAUUAUUUUAUGUACAGAACUAUAUAUAUUUGUGAGAAAAAAGAAAAAAAAAAGUGUAUUAACAGAUUAGAAUAGAUGAAGAAGAACUGAAAACUCAAAACAACAGAAACAAAGAAAAGAAGAGCACAUUAUAGAGAGAAGAGAGAAGGUUGUUUGAAAAACAAAAAGAGAUUUCUAAGCGUGAAAGAAAACUAAAUUGUGAAAACUGAUCUGGGUUUUCUUCAUUUCAAUUCUUUCAUUAUUGAAAGCUUUGUUUGCUGUUUUCAAUGGAGUUAUUUCUUAGUAAGUUAUUUGUUUUUUUUUUGUUAAUUUCUGCAUUGCUUUUGCUGUUUCUGCUAGAUCUUUCUAAUGGGUAUUUGUAAUUGCAGAGUAAUUUAAAGAAAAUACUACUCUGGGUUUUCUCUUAAAGCCAUAGAUCUUCAGGUAAAAACAGAGUUUUCUCCAUUUUCAUAAUUCAAAUGGGUGUUUUAAUAAUUAACUAAUAUGAUUUGUUUGAUUUGUUUUCAGAGAUGGAGAAUGAUGGAAAGCAUCAAAGAGCAGCAGCAGCAGCAGCAGCAACAACAACAUCUAAUAGAGUUAGAGAAACAGAUUUUCUAUUACAGUGGGGAAAUCGAAAGAGACUUCGAUGUUUAAAGGUGAAAGAAGAAGAACAACAACAUCAUAAUCAAGAUGUUUCAGAGAAAGAGAAAGAGAAAUCUAAUAACAACGGUGGAGUAAUUAGAAAGAAAACUACCUCUCGUAUUGAUCGCCGUGUUGUUAAAACAGCAGAGAAAGAUUCUUCUUCUUCACCUUCUCGUCUUCCACCUAAUCCACAAAAUAACAAUAACAAGUAAGCAAAAGCUAACCUCCCCAUCAAACAAAUUUCAUUAAAAUUCAUGUUUAACAGUGUGAAUUUAUCCAAAUUUAUUUCAGGAACUCUGAUCGAUCGAGAUCAAGUGAGAAUCUUAAACAUUUACAACAGUCUUCUUCACCAGAGAAAGAAGAAAGGUACUACACAACAAGAGG
RNAcentral lists this long non-coding RNA (1510 nucleotides) under Aquilegia coerulea. RNAcentral's name for it is "long non-coding RNA (ACOE_LNC000816)". Lineage: Eukaryota; Viridiplantae; Streptophyta; Magnoliopsida; Ranunculales; Ranunculaceae. The record is from RNAcentral.